AUUGAACGCUGGCGGCAUGCUUUACACAUGCAAGUCGAACGGUAACAGGCCUUCGGGUGCUGACGAGUGGCGAACGGGUGAGUAAUGCAUCGGAACGUACCCAGAGGUGGGGGAUAACGCAGCGAAAGCUGUGCUAAUACCGCAUGUGAUCUGAGGAUGAAAGCGGGGGACCGAGCAGCAAUGUUUGGCCUCGCGCCUUUGGAGCGGCCGAUGUCGGAUUAGCUAGUUGGUGGGGUAAAGGCCUACCAAGGCGACGGUCCGUAGCUGGUCUGAGAGGACGACCAGCCACACUGGGACUGAGACACGGCCCAGACUCCUACGGGAGGCAGCAGUGGGGAAUUUUGGACAAUGGGCGCAAGCCUGAUCCAGCAAUGCCGCGUGCGGGAAGAAGGCCUUCGGGUUGUAAACCGCUUUUGGCAGGAACGAAACGGUGUCCGCUAAUACCGGGCGCUAAUGACGGUACCUGCAGAAUAAGCACCGGCUAACUACGUG
Molecule: ribosomal RNA, 492 nt
Filed under: uncultured bacterium
Lineage: Bacteria
Description: partial 16S ribosomal RNA
Rfam family: Bacterial small subunit ribosomal RNA
Source: RNAcentral